RNAcentral lists this ribosomal RNA (484 nucleotides) under uncultured bacterium. RNAcentral describes it as "partial 16S ribosomal RNA". It matches the Rfam family "Bacterial small subunit ribosomal RNA", at positions 30 to 507 of the family's 1533-position model. The record is from RNAcentral.
AUUGAACGCUGGCGGCAGGCCUAACACAUGCAAGUCGAGCGGACGAAGGGAGCUUGCUCCUGGAUUCAGCGGCGGACGGGUGAGUAAUGCCUAGGAAUCUGCCUGGUAGUGGGGGAUAACGUCCGUAAACGGGCGCUAAUACCGCAUACGUCCUGAGGGAGAAAGGGGGGGAUCUUCGGACCUCACGCUAUCAGAUGAGCCUAGGUCGGAUUAGCUAGUUGGUGGGGUAAAGGCCUACCAAGGCGACGAUCCGUAACUGGUCUGAGAGGAUGAUCAGUCACACUGGAACUGAGACACGGUCCAGACUCCUACGGGAGGCAGCAGUGGGGAAUAUUGGACAAUGGGCGAAAGCCUGAUCCAGCCAUGCCGCGUGUGUGAAGAAGGUCUUCGGAUUGUAAAGCACUUUAAGUUGGGAGGAAGGGAAGUAAGUUAAUACCUUGCUGUUUUGACGUUACCAACAGAAUAAGCACCGGCUAACUUCGUG